AGUGAACGCUGGCGGCGUGCCUAAUACAUGCAAGUCGAACGGAGUGGCGCACGGGCGAGUAAUGUAUAGCUAAUCUGCCCUACACUAGAGGACAACAGUUGGUAACGACUGCUAAUACUCUAUAGUGUAGGUUGAGGCUAUAAUGUAUCAGCUAGUUGGUGAGGUAAUGGCUCACCAAGGCUAUGACGCAUAACUGGUCUGAGAGGAUGAUCAGUAACACUGGAAGUGAGACACGGGUGAGACUCCUACGGGAGGCAGCAGUAGGGAAUAUUGCUCAAUGGGGGUGACCCUGAAGCGGCAGCGCCGCGUGAAGGAUGACACUUGUCGGAGCGUAAACUCCUUUUGUUAGGGAAGCGGUACCUAACGAAGAAGCACCGGCUAACUCCGUGCCAGCAGCCGCGGUAAUAC
RNAcentral lists this ribosomal RNA (408 nucleotides) under uncultured bacterium. RNAcentral's name for it is "partial 16S ribosomal RNA". It matches the Rfam family "Bacterial small subunit ribosomal RNA", at positions 29 to 526 of the family's 1533-position model. The record is from RNAcentral.